GGGCCGUCAUGGACACAGGGCAAGGCUGGCAAAUCCCCAGAGAGGUUGGCAGAUUCUGAGGCUUCGGGUUGACGUUAUGGAACCAUCGUCAGCAGAAAAAAGGCAGGAUAGAGAGAGAGUGUCUGAGCCAGUCCACCCUGCUUAAAGGCAGGAAACAAAAUCUCUGCCAAAGGCCUGAUUCGGCUUGCCAGUAACACUACUGAGAGCUCAUCGGGACAGUGACUGUCUCUACAGCCCAGGUCUGCGCCAGCCAGAGUGACACUGCCCUCCACCUCAAGAGUGAGGCCCCAG
Mauremys reevesii (Reeves's turtle) is the source of this 291-nucleotide long non-coding RNA. RefSeq lists it as uncharacterized. NCBI's taxonomy places the organism in Eukaryota, Metazoa, Chordata, Testudines, Geoemydidae. The record is from RefSeq and is a predicted model, not a curated record. The transcript is spliced from 3 exons.